This is a long non-coding RNA of Fundulus heteroclitus (mummichog), 380 nucleotides long. RefSeq lists it as uncharacterized. The transcript has 3 exons. The record is from RefSeq and is a predicted model, not a curated record. NCBI's taxonomy places the organism in Eukaryota, Metazoa, Chordata, Actinopteri, Cyprinodontiformes, Fundulidae.
UUCAGGACAACUUGGAGUCCAGGUGGAAACUGCUCCUGAUGGUGGCACUCUUCCCUCAGUUGCCACUGAGAAAGAUUCACACACCGCGAAAGAAGACAGCGGAGAAGUAUUUUUGACCUCUUCUGCCACAGAACAGAGCCUAAAGAGAGCCCGGGAACCUGGACACCAAGUUUUUUCCUGCAAUCUUCUCCUGAGUCAAGAAUAACUCAGACUUACAAAAGGAUAAAAAUAGUGUUUGAGUUAAUCCUGUCUCAACUGUUUAAUAAGGAAAACGAAGAAGGGACACAUAUAGAGCCUUCCACUUCAGAUUACGCCUGUUGUCCACAGGCUGGAUUCAACAGUCCAGGACUCAACCAAUUGGCAAAGCCCUUUUUUAAGGA